This 114-nucleotide ribosomal RNA is filed under the name Escherichia coli. The record is from RNAcentral. RNAcentral also lists the same sequence under 36 other names. Lineage: Bacteria; Pseudomonadati; Pseudomonadota; Gammaproteobacteria; Enterobacterales; Enterobacteriaceae.
UCUGGCGGCAGUAGCGCGGUGGUCCCACCUGACCCCAUGCCGAACUCAGAAGUGAAACGCCGUAGCGCCGAUGGUAGUGUGGGGUCUCCCCAUGCGAGAGUAGGGAACUGCCAG